Long non-coding RNA from Heterocephalus glaber (naked mole-rat), 893 nucleotides. The record is from Ensembl. NCBI's taxonomy places the organism in Eukaryota, Metazoa, Chordata, Mammalia, Rodentia, Bathyergidae.
CUCAGACCUCCGGCGCCGCGUCUCUCCCGCCCUGGCCUGAGUUCCCGCCGCGCUCUUGGGCCUGAGGGACCCGCGUGGAGCUCGCAGCGCCUCGGAAACUGGGGGAGGCAAGGCUGCACAAUGACCCAGACGGUGCCUUCUGCCAGGGGCGGCCCUGCCUGGGCAGCUUAUAGGAUGACAGCCUGCUCGCGGGCUUCCUGAGGAGGCUCCUGCCCGCCGAGUGUCUUGCUAAGUCACUAAAUCCAGUUGCCCAAGAUGGAUUUGAAUGUGUGAUCCUCCUGCCUCAGCCUCCUGGAGCUAAAAUUACAGUUUCACAGGUAGAAGAGUUACGCUUACUAUAGAUCUUAACAAUAUCAACAUGAUUUUUUUUCUUCACUUUUGAAGUCAAGAACUUCUACCUUUGUCCCUAAAGGAAUCAUUUAUGGCUUCUUUUGGUAAAUUCAAAUUGCAGGUAUUACUGUUAUGCUUUGAAGCUAUUAUUAAGUAAAAUAAGGAUAACUUAAACCAAAGCACUAUCAUAUCAUGACAAGUCAGUCUGAUAACUGAGAUGCCUAUUAAAUGAUUAAGAGGUAGGUAGCACAUAGAACAUGGAUAACUAUGGACAAAGGGAUGAUUCAUGUCCCAGAAGGAAGGAGCAGAUGGUGCAAGAUUUCAUCACAUUGCUCAGAAUGAUGUGCAACUUACAACUUUUGAAUUAUUUUUGGAAUUUUCCACUUAGUAGUUUCGAACACAGUUGACUAUAGAAAGUGAAACUGCAGACAAGAGGGACUGGUAUAAAUGUUAUUCUUCUGCAUUGUAUAUGAGGCCAUACUUAAAGAGAAUAAGUUUGUAAGGUUAAUGAUUGUCAUUGGGUUUUUUUUUAAUUAGUUUGAGAGGCAUAAAGAGGUUUAUUA